RNAcentral lists this unclassified non-coding RNA (186 nucleotides) under rhizosphere metagenome. RNAcentral's name for it is "partial ribosomal RNA internal transcribed spacer region". The record is from RNAcentral.
GAGUAUCAUGCCCUUCUGGGUAGAUCUCCACCCUUGAAUAACAUACCUUUGUUGCUUUGGCAGGACGCACUCGUGCCAGGGGCUUCGGCUCUUGAGUGCCUGCCAGAGGACCACAACUCUUGUUUUUAGUGAUGUCUGAGUAAAAUUUUAAUAUUUAAAACUUUCAACAACGGAUCUCUUGGCUCU